Ribosomal RNA from Oncorhynchus tshawytscha (Chinook salmon), 118 nucleotides. The record is from Ensembl. Lineage: Eukaryota; Metazoa; Chordata; Actinopteri; Salmoniformes; Salmonidae.
GCUUACGACCACACCGGCCUGAGUACGCCUGAUCUCGUCUGAUCUCGGAAGCUAAGCAGGGUCGGGCCUGGUUAGUACUUGAUGGGAGACUUCCUGGGAAUACCAGGUGAUGUAAGCU